GAGAACACAUGGAAAGAUGGCUAAAAUUAUUGCCAUUUGUAUAAUUCUUAUCACUCUUAAAGCAACAGUGAUAUCUCUUCUCAACAUCCAUCAAUCACCUCAACAUCUACUUAUCACACCAGAGCAGAGGAAAGUGAAGCUACACUGCCGGCAUGGGGAUACCAGCUAUCCCUACAUGUACUGGUAUCAGCAAAAUAUGGUUGGUGAUGCCAUUGAGCUUAUUGGAAUGCUCCAUUAUGAAAGAUUCACCACUGAGGAGAAGUUUAAAGCAAGAUUCAACUCUUCAGGACACUCUAAAGAGGAUGCAUUUCUGCUCAUAUCCAAUAUAACGUUUGAGGAUAGUGCAGUAUAUUUCUGUGCUGCUAGUAAGCACAGCCACACACCUGCCCUUUCUGUUUAA
Molecule: non-coding RNA, 400 nt
Organism: Silurus meridionalis
Lineage: Eukaryota; Metazoa; Chordata; Actinopteri; Siluriformes; Siluridae
Source: the annotation of a RefSeq genome assembly